Long non-coding RNA from Macrobrachium nipponense, 952 nucleotides. RefSeq lists it as uncharacterized. The record is from RefSeq and is a predicted model, not a curated record. Lineage: Eukaryota; Metazoa; Arthropoda; Malacostraca; Decapoda; Palaemonidae. The transcript is spliced from 3 exons.
UCUUCGAAGUGUUGCAGUGUUAUUGUACUUAUACGAUGGGUUUUCGGCAGCGUGCGAAUUAUUUCUUGUUCUCUGGGGAUUAGGGUAUAAUUUUAUAAAGGUUGCGUUACCGUUUGUGUUUUGAAUGACGGUUGGUCCACGGAACAACUCCUUUUUUUCGUAUUUUUUCUUACCCCCGAGCCGUGAGUCCCUAAUAGCCGAAGUGUUGCCUACUGGUUAUCUGAACGAUGGUUUACGAAAACCUACCCUUUACGUUUUGCAGAACUGUGACUCCCUCAUAGCCGGCUUGUUGUCGUGGACCCUCGGUGUUAUAUGUUUUUGGGAAGUGAACAAUACUACUGUUUUCAUCUAAUCAUUUACUUUAAAGUCUGUAUCUAUUACCGGUUUAAUAUUAAUUGUAUGAAGGAUGGUCUACGAAACUAAAAAAUUUCCACAAAUGUGGCGCUCUCGCUAGAGUUGUUGCUUAUGGACUCUGUUAGAUAUUGAGUAGACCCAUAAAAAUGCUGUCUGGAACAAACUGUGGACUUGGGACACUUAAUCCACUAGUAAAUCUGUGCUAAACGUAAUCUCAAAUCGCUGGAGAAAUCCGCUGGUGUUGAUUUUUGUGCUGUCUUCACUUCAUGGAGCAAACUACUCUUCUGAGAAUUGAAGUCUUUAAUCUUUAAACAAAUAACUUGUCAUGGAUGUUGACUGGAGGAGAUCGAAGAAUAUGGGAACUUUGAUUUUUAAAGAACUGUGGAAACAGUUUCAAGAAAUGUCAGUUGCAUUUAAUUCACAAUUUUUAAAUGGCGAGACUGGAGCCUGGCGUUGAAGAUAUACUUGAUGCUUUGUAUUUGUCCUAUAUUCAUAAUUUAAGUGGUUUUUGUAUUUUUCGCUUCAAUAAAUGGUAUUAAACGAUGUAAAUGUACAAAUAAACGUUCCCUCUUUCAAUAACAUAAAUUAAAGGGUGGGU